RNAcentral lists this ribosomal RNA (359 nucleotides) under Salmonella enterica subsp. enterica serovar Napoli. RNAcentral describes it as "bacterial SSU rRNA". It matches the Rfam family "Bacterial small subunit ribosomal RNA", at positions 1 to 354 of the family's 1533-position model. Lineage: Bacteria; Pseudomonadati; Pseudomonadota; Gammaproteobacteria; Enterobacterales; Enterobacteriaceae. The record is from RNAcentral.
UUAAAUUGAAGAGUUUGAUCAUGGCUCAGAUUGAACGCUGGCGGCAGGCCUAACACAUGCAAGUCGAACGGUAACAGGAAGCAGCUUGCUGCUUUGCUGACGAGUGGCGGACGGGUGAGUAAUGUCUGGGAAACUGCCUGAUGGAGGGGGAUAACUACUGGAAACGGUGGCUAAUACCGCAUAACGUCGCAAGACCAAAGAGGGGGACCUUCGGGCCUCUUGCCAUCAGAUGUGCCCAGAUGGGAUUAGCUUGUUGGUGAGGUAACGGCUCACCAAGGCGACGAUCCCUAGCUGGUCUGAGAGGAUGACCAGCCACACUGGAACUGAGACACGGUCCAGACUCCUACGGGAGGCAGCAG